Molecule: long non-coding RNA, 559 nt
Filed under: Rattus norvegicus (Norway rat)
Lineage: Eukaryota; Metazoa; Chordata; Mammalia; Rodentia; Muridae
Description: long non-coding RNA NONRATT028633
Source: RNAcentral
GGCGCUCGGAGUGGGGAGUGGGGCCUAGCCGCAGCCGGAGCCUGGGAGACGAUGCAUCACUGUAAGCGAUACCGUUCCCCAGAGCCAGACCCAUACCUGAGCUACCGCUGGAAGAGGAGGCGGUCUUACAGUCGGGAGCAUGAAGGUCGACUACGAUACCCAUCCCGAAGGGAGCCUCCCCCACGGAGAUCAAGGUCCAGAAGCCAUGAUCGUAUACCCUACCAGAGGAGGUACCGGGAACACCGAGACAGCGAUACAUAUCGGUGUGAAGAGCGGAGCCCAUCCUUUGGAGAGGACUGCUAUGGGUCUUCACGUUCUCGACAUCGGAGACGGUCACGAGAGAGGGGGCCGUACCGUACCCGCAAGCAUGCCCACCACUGUCACAAACGUCGUACCAGGUCUUGUAGCAGCGCCUCCUCGGUGAGUGGUGGCCAAAGUGUGCUAAUAGGGGCCUAAAGGCCUCACCUCUUUCUCGCCUUUUCUCAGGCUAGCUGGUCUGGGUGAGUACUGGCAACCCCGCGUACAUACACCAUUGUGGAUACACACAAGAGGUGUGUGU